GACGAACGCUGGCGGCGUGCCUAAUACAUGCAAGUUGAGCGCUGAAGGUUGGUACUUGUACCGACUGGAUGAGCAGCGAACGGGUGAGUAACGCGUGGGGAAUCUGCCUUUGAGCGGGGGACAACAUUUGGAAACGAAUGCUAAUACCGCAUAAAAACUUUAAACACAAGUUUUAAGUUUGAAAGAUGCAAUUGCAUCACUCAAAGAUGAUCCCGCGUUGUAUUAGCUAGUUGGUGAGGUAAAGGCUCACCAAGGCGAUGAUACAUAGCCGACCUGAGAGGGUGAUCGGCCACAUUGGGACUGAGACACGGCCCAAACUCCUACGGGAGGCAGCAGUAGGGAAUCUUCGGCAAUGGACGAAAGUCUGACCGAGCAACGCCGCGUGNAGUGAAGAAGGUUUUCGGAUCGUAAAACUCUGUUGGUAGAGAAGAACGUUGGUGAGAGUGGAAAGCUCAUCAAGUGACGGUAACUACCCAGAAANGGGACGGCUAACUACGUGCCAGCAGCCGCGGUAAUACGUAGGUCCCGAGCGUUGUCCGGAUUUAUUGGGCGUAAAGCGAGCGCAGGUGGUUUAUUAAGUCUGGUGUAAAAGGCAGUGGCUCAACCAUUGUAUGCAUUGGAAACUGGUAGACUUGAGUGCAGGAGAGGAGAGUGGAAUUCCAUGUGUAGCGGUGAAAUGCGUAGAUAUAUGGAGGAACACCGGUGGCGAAAGCGGCUCUCUGGCCUGUAACUGACACUGAGGCUCGAAAGCGUGGGGAGCAAACAGGAUUAGAUACCCUGGUAGUCCACGCCGUAAACGAUGAGUGCUAGAUGUAGGGAGCUAUAAGUUCUCUGUAUCGCAGCUAACGCAAUAAGCACUCCGCCUGGGGAGUACGACCGCAAGGUUGAAACUCAAAGGAAUUGACGGGGGCCCGCACAAGCGGUGGAGCAUGUGGUUUAAUUCGAAGCAACGCGAAGAACCUUACCAGGUCUUGACAUACUCGUGCUAUUCCUAGAGAUAGGAAGUUCCUUCGGGACACGGGAUACAGGUGGUGCAUGGUUGUCGUCAGCUCGUGUCGUGAGAUGUUGGGUUAAGUCCCGCAACGAGCGCAACCCNUAUUGUUAGUUGCCAUCAUUAAGUUGGGCACUCUAACGAGACUGCCGGUGAUAAACCGGAGGAAGGUGGGGAUGACGUCAAAUCAUCAUGCCCCCUAUGACCUGGGCUACACACGUGCUACAAUGGAUGGUACAACGAGUCGCGAGACAGUGAUGUUUAGCUAAUCUCUUAAAACCAUUCUCAGUUCGGAUUGUAGGCUGCAACUCGCCUACAUGAAGUCGGAAUCGCUAGUAAUCGCGGAUCAGCACGCCGCGGUGAGUACGUUCCCGGGCCUUGUACACACCGCCCGUCACACCACGGGAGUUGGGAGUACCCGAAGUAGGUUGCCUAACCGCAAGGAGGGCGCUUCCUAAGGUAAGACCGAUGACUGGGGUGAAGUCGUAACAAGGUAGCCGUAUCGGAAGG
RNAcentral lists this ribosomal RNA (1501 nucleotides) under uncultured bacterium. Its description in RNAcentral is "bacterial SSU rRNA". It matches the Rfam family "Bacterial small subunit ribosomal RNA". The record is from RNAcentral.